GGGGUUGUGGCUCAGCGGUAGAGCGCUCAACUAGAACGUGCGAGGUUCUGGGUUCAAUCCUCAGCACCA
This 69-nucleotide transfer RNA is filed under the name Ictidomys tridecemlineatus (thirteen-lined ground squirrel). RNAcentral's name for it is "Spermophilus tridecemlineatus (thirteen-lined ground squirrel) tRNA". It matches the Rfam family "tRNA". Rfam says of the family: Transfer RNA (tRNA) molecules are approximately 80 nucleotides in length. The record is from Rfam by way of RNAcentral. Lineage: Eukaryota; Metazoa; Chordata; Mammalia; Rodentia; Sciuridae.